AAUAAACGUAGCCAUAAAUUUCCGUGUCCAAUUUUAAUCGUUCGUCUUAUUUGAUUUUUUUAUAGUUAGUAUUUUUAUUGUUAUUAGACUAUAAAACAUUAAUAGUACUUUAUACAUGACUUAUGUAUUUUAGUUUUUUCAAAAAAAAUAAAUAAGACAAACAAUUAAAGUUAGACACAUAAACUCAUGACUGCGUUUAUU
Non-coding RNA from Oryza barthii, 201 nucleotides. Lineage: Eukaryota; Viridiplantae; Streptophyta; Magnoliopsida; Poales; Poaceae. The record is from Rfam.